CACGUCCAAGCAGUGAGAUUGAGUGUUAGGCAAAUCCGGCACUCUUAAGAUUGAGCUGUGAUGGGGAGAGGAACUUGUUCCUCGAGUCGUUGAUUUCACACUGCCGAGAAAAGCCUCUAGCUAGAAUAACGGUGCCCGUACCGCAAACCGACACAGGUAGUCAAGAUGAGAAUUCUAAGGUGAGCGAGCGAACUCUCGUUAAGGAACUCGGCAAAAUGACCCCGUAACUUCGGGAGAAGGGGUGCUCUUUGAGGUUCACGCUUCGAAGAGCCGCAGUGAAUAGGCCCAAGCGACUGUUUAUCAAAAACACAGGUCUCUGCUAAACCGUAAGGUGACGUAUAGGGGCUGACGCCUGCCCGGUGCUGGAAGGUUAAGAGGAGUGGUUAGCGCAAGCGAAGCUACGAAUCGAAGCCCCAGUAAACGGCGGCCGUAACUAUAACGGUCCUAAGGUAGCGAAAUUCCUUGUCGGGUAAGUUCCGACCCGCACGAAAGGCGUAACGAUUUGGGCACUGUCUCAACGAGAGACUCGGUGAAAUCAUAGUACCGGUGAAGAUGCCGGUUACCCGCGACAGGACGGAAAGACCCCGUGGAGCUUUACUGUAGCCUGAUAUUGAAAUUCGGUACAGUUUGUACAGGAUAGGUAGGAGCCUUAGAAGCGUGAGCGCUAGCUUACGUGGAGGCAUUGGUGGGAUACUACCCUAAUUGUAUUGGAUUUCUAACCCGCAGCACUUAUCGUGCUGGGAGACAGUGUCAGGCGGGCAGUUUGACUGGGGCGGUCGCCUCCUAAAGAGUAACGGAGGCGCUCAAAGGUUCCCUCAGAAUGGUUGGAAAUCAUUCAUAGAGUGUAAAGGCAUAAGGGAGCUUGACUGCGAGACCUACAAGUCGAGCAGGGUCGAAAGACGGACUUAGUGAUCCGGUGGUUCCGCAUGGAAGGGCCAUCGCUCAACGGAUAAAAGCUACCCCGGGGAUAACAGGCUUAUCUCCCCCAAGAGUUCACAUCGACGGGGAGGUUUGGCACCUCGAUGUCGGCUCAUCGCAUCCUGGGGCUGUAGUCGGUCCCAAGGGUUGGGCUGUUCGCCCAUUAAAGCGGUACGCGAGCUGGGUUCAGAACGUCGUGAGACAGUUCGGUCCCUAUCCGUCGUGGGCGUAGGAAAUUUGAGAGGAGCUGUCCUUAGUACGAGAGGACCGGGAUGGACAUACCUCUGGUGUACCAGUUGUCGUGCCAACGGCAUAGCUGGGUAGCUAUGUAUGGACGGGAUAAGUGCUGAAAGCAUCUAAGCAUGAAGCCCCCCUCGAGAUGAGAUUUCCCAACUUCGGUUAUAAGAUCCCUCAAAGAUGAUGAGGUGAAUAGGUUCGAGGUGGAAGCGUAGCGAUACGUGGAGCUGACGAAUACUAAUCGAUCGAAGACUU
This 1410-nucleotide ribosomal RNA is filed under the name Staphylococcus pseudintermedius. RNAcentral's name for it is "partial 23S ribosomal RNA". It matches the Rfam family "Bacterial large subunit ribosomal RNA", at positions 1507 to 2925 of the family's 2925-position model. The record is from RNAcentral. Lineage: Bacteria; Bacillati; Bacillota; Bacilli; Caryophanales; Staphylococcaceae.